Long non-coding RNA from Chinchilla lanigera (long-tailed chinchilla), 253 nucleotides. RefSeq lists it as uncharacterized. The record is from RefSeq and is a predicted model, not a curated record. Lineage: Eukaryota; Metazoa; Chordata; Mammalia; Rodentia; Chinchillidae. The transcript is spliced from 3 exons.
CAGGCGCUGUGCCAGUGAACUAAAUCCCCAGCCCCCAACAGAGCCAGCCAUCUAUAUCAUUAUGAAGCAGGCCAUUGGUAGUGGAUACCCCUGGCCUCUCCUCGCUACAACUUUAAACCCCCAUCCUUUCAGACAUUGUGAUUCCUCCUUCCUCUUCUUAUCAAGGUUGGAUGACUAAGGUGUAUAUCCUGAAAUGUGAAGAUGGACCAUUGGAGCCAGGAGCCAAGGAUUGUGGCUGCUUCUAGAAACCGGA